This 253-nucleotide ribosomal RNA is filed under the name uncultured bacterium. RNAcentral's name for it is "partial 16S ribosomal RNA". It matches the Rfam family "Bacterial small subunit ribosomal RNA", at positions 524 to 776 of the family's 1533-position model. The record is from RNAcentral.
UACGUAGGGGGCAAGCUUUGUCCGGAUUUACUGGGCGUAAAGAGCGCGCAGGCGGUCGGAUAAGUCGAAUGUGAAAGCCCCCGGCUCAACUGGGGAGGGUCAUUCGAUACUGUUCGACUCGAAGGCAGGAGAGGGAAGUGGAAUUCCCGGUGUAGUGGUGAAAUGCGUAGAUAUCGGGAGGAACACCAGUGGCGAAGGCGACUUCCUGGCCUGUUCUUGACGCUGAGGCGCGAAAGCUAGGGGAGCAAACGGG